UGGGGAAUAUUGGACAAUUGGCGAAAGCCUGAUCCAGCCAUGCCGCGUGUGUGAAGAAGGUCUUCGGAUUGUAAAGCACCUUAAGUUGGGAGGAAGGGUACUUACCUAAUACGUGAGUAUUUUGACGUUACCGACAGAAUAAGCACCGGCUAACACUGUGCCAGCAGCCGCGGUAAUACAGAGGGUGCAAGCGUUAAUCGGAAUUCCUGGGCGUAAAGCGCGCGUAGGUGGUUUGUUAAGUUGGAUGUGAAAGCCCCGAGCCCAACCUGGGAACUGCAUCCAAAACUGGCAAGCUAGAGUAGGGUAGCGGGUGGUGGUAUUUCCUGUGUAGCGGUGAAAUGCGUAGAUAUAGGAAGGAACACCAGUGGCGAAGGCGACCACCUGGACUGAUACUGACACUGAGGUGCGAAAGCGUGGGGAGCAAACA
RNAcentral lists this ribosomal RNA (427 nucleotides) under uncultured bacterium. Its description in RNAcentral is "bacterial SSU rRNA". It matches the Rfam family "Bacterial small subunit ribosomal RNA", at positions 355 to 774 of the family's 1533-position model. The record is from RNAcentral.